UUCGCUGACCUCACCAGCGGCAAGAUGAUCAAACACCUUCCUGAUUUCUCACGGCACACCGUCUUCGACUGCCCCCAAGUUCUGCCCAUCCCUCCCGGUGGUCCACGUGUAACCUUCGACGCGGAUCAGCCUAUCAGAGAGAGAAUAUUCCAUUUCAGCAGGGAAGCCAUUUCGAAACUCAAACAGAGGACUAACUACAACAAAGUUAACGGCAUGAAAUCUAACGGUAACGGAGGAGGGAAGAUAACGAAGAAGAAUCAGGAUCCAACGGCUGAGAUUUCGUCGUUCCAAUCUCUGAGUGCUCAGCUAUGGCGAUCCGUUACGCGAGCGAGGAACCUAGAUCCGAGCAAGACGACGAC
Molecule: long non-coding RNA, 359 nt
Filed under: Brassica rapa (field mustard)
Lineage: Eukaryota; Viridiplantae; Streptophyta; Magnoliopsida; Brassicales; Brassicaceae
Description: long non-coding RNA (BRAP_LNC007997)
Source: RNAcentral